GACGAACGCUGGCGGCGUGCUUAACGCAUGCAAGUCGAGCGGUAAGGCCCUUUCGGGGGUACACGAGCGGCGAACGGGUGAGUAACACGUGGGUGACCUGCCCUCAGCUCUGGGAUAAGCCUGGGAAACCGGGCCUAAUACCGGAUAUGACUCCAUGACGCAUGUUGUGGGGUGGAAAGCCUUGUGCGGCUGAGGAUGGGCCCGCGGCCUAUCAGCUUGUUGGUGGGGUGAUGGCCUACCAAGGCGACGACGGGUAGCCGGCCUGAGAGGGCGACCGGCCACACUGGGACUGAGACACGGCCCAGACUCCUACGGGAGGCAGCAGUGGGGAAUCUUGCGCAAUGGGCGAAAGCCUGACGCAGCGACGCCGCGUGAGGGAUGACGG
RNAcentral lists this ribosomal RNA (385 nucleotides) under uncultured bacterium. Its description in RNAcentral is "bacterial SSU rRNA". It matches the Rfam family "Bacterial small subunit ribosomal RNA", at positions 28 to 414 of the family's 1533-position model. The record is from RNAcentral.